RNAcentral lists this ribosomal RNA (253 nucleotides) under uncultured prokaryote. RNAcentral describes it as "partial 16S ribosomal RNA". It matches the Rfam family "Bacterial small subunit ribosomal RNA", at positions 524 to 776 of the family's 1533-position model. The record is from RNAcentral.
GACGGGGGGUCCUAGCGUUGUUCGGAAUCAUUGGGCGUAAAGCGUGUGCAGGUGGUUUGGUAAGUUGGAUGUGAAAGCCCCGGGCUUAACUCGGGAAGUGCAUUCAAAACUACCAAACUUGAGUAUGGAAGAGGUUCGUGGAAUUCCUGGUGUAGUGGUGAAAUACGUAGAUAUUGGGAGGAACACCAGUGGCGAAGGCGGCUCACUGGACCGGUACUGGCGCUGAAGCGCGAAAGCGUGGGGAGCAAACGGG